GCACAACGCGAAGAACCUUACCAGGCCUUGACAUGCAGAGAACUUUCCAGAGAUGGAUUGGUGCCUUCGGGAACUCUGACACAGGUGCUGCAUGGCUGUCGUCAGCUCGUGUCGUGAGAUGUUGGGUUAAGUCCCGCAACGAGCGCAACCCUUGUCCUUAGUUGCCAGCACGUAAAGGUGGGAACUCUAAGGUGACUGCCGGUGACAAACCGGAGGAAGGUGGGGAUGGACGUCGAAAUCAUCAUGCCCCUUAUGACCUGGGCUACACACGUGCUACAAUGGAUGGUACAAAGGGCUGCAAGACCGCGAGGUCAAGCCAAUCCCAUAAAGCCAGUCGUAGUCCGGAUCGCAGUCUGCAACUCGACUGCGUGAAGUCGGAAUCGCUAGUAAUCGUGGAUCAGAAUGUCACGGUGAAUACGUUCCCGGGGUCUUGUACACACCGAGUCGU
This 448-nucleotide ribosomal RNA is filed under the name uncultured bacterium. RNAcentral describes it as "bacterial SSU rRNA". It matches the Rfam family "Bacterial small subunit ribosomal RNA", at positions 954 to 1397 of the family's 1533-position model. The record is from RNAcentral.